UACGUAGGGUGCGAGCGUUGUCCGGAAUUAUUGGGCGUAAAGAGCUCGUAGGCGGUCUGUCGCGUCGGCUGUGAAAACUCGGGGCUCAACCCCGAGCCUGCAGUCGAUACGGGCAGACUAGAGUGCUGUAGGGGAGACUGGAAUUCCUGGUGUAGCGGUGAAAUGCGCAGAUAUCAGGAGGAACACCGGUGGCGAAGGCGGGUCUCUGGGCCGAUACUGACGCUGAGGAGCGAAAGCGUGGGGAGCGAACAGG
Molecule: ribosomal RNA, 253 nt
Filed under: uncultured bacterium
Lineage: Bacteria
Description: partial 16S ribosomal RNA
Rfam family: Bacterial small subunit ribosomal RNA
Source: RNAcentral